Molecule: long non-coding RNA, 290 nt
Filed under: Elaeis guineensis (African oil palm)
Lineage: Eukaryota; Viridiplantae; Streptophyta; Magnoliopsida; Arecales; Arecaceae
Description: long non-coding RNA (EGUI_LNC044652)
Source: RNAcentral
UCUUUCACUAUUUUAUACAAAUUGGUAGCCUCUACCUCUAAUUCAAAGAAUUACCUUAAUUUUUUAGUGGGUACUAGAAUCUACACAGACCGCAUAUAGGCCCGAAGAUGGCUCGAUCAAUCCAUAUACACCUAUGGAUAGGUUCUCAACCAAUUGUUUCUCCAAAUAACUUCUAGUAAUUAAUUUAACCCCAGAUUUCAUUUCAGUAGGUGAUGGGCCUGCACUGGAAGUUUCGAUUAAGUCAAACAAUUAACAUGAACCUACUCAGUGAUUCUACAUAAUGAGUGAUC